AAUUUGUGAAGCUGAAUGAAACGUUUUCGUGGGGAAUGACGUGUGGCCCGUAGCCAUGUAUCUUGGCAUGCCAGAAUUAUGCUCCGGACCAGGCUUCAUUCCCCUCGGCAACGUUGCAUGAUGGUAAUUAUGU
Molecule: microRNA precursor, 133 nt
Filed under: Physcomitrium patens
Lineage: Eukaryota; Viridiplantae; Streptophyta; Bryopsida; Funariales; Funariaceae
Description: Physcomitrella patens miR166l stem-loop (ppt-MIR166l)
Gene: ppt-MIR166l
Source: miRBase by way of RNAcentral